GAUGAACGCUGGCGGCGUGCCUAAUACAUGCAAGUCGAGCGAAUGGAUUAAGAGCUUGCUCUUAUGAAGUUAGUGGCGGACGGGUGAGUAACACGUGGGUAACCUGCCCAUAAGACUGGGAUAACUCCGGGAAACCGGGGCUAAUACCGGAUAACAUUUUGAACCGCAUGGUUCGAAAUUGAAAGGCGGCUUCGGCUGUCACUUAUGGAUGGACCCGCGUCGCAUUAGCUAGUUGGUGAGGUAACGGCUCACCAAGGCAACGAUGCGUAGCCGACCUGAGAGGGUGAUCGGCCACACUGGGACUGAGACACGGCCCAGACUCCUACGGGAGGCAGCAGUAGGGAAUCUUCCGCAAUGGCCGAAAGUCUGACGGAGCAACGCCGCGUGAGUGAUGAAGGCUUUCGGGUCGUAAAACUCUGUUGUUAGGGAAGAACAAGUGCUAGUUGAAUAAGCUGGCACCUUGACGGUACCUAACCAGAAAGCCACGGCUAACUACGUGCCAGCCGCCGCGGUAA
RNAcentral lists this ribosomal RNA (515 nucleotides) under uncultured bacterium. Its description in RNAcentral is "partial 16S ribosomal RNA". It matches the Rfam family "Bacterial small subunit ribosomal RNA", at positions 28 to 523 of the family's 1533-position model. The record is from RNAcentral.